Molecule: ribosomal RNA, 830 nt
Filed under: uncultured bacterium
Lineage: Bacteria
Description: bacterial SSU rRNA
Rfam family: Bacterial small subunit ribosomal RNA (bases 151-793)
Source: RNAcentral
UACUCGGAUAUCCAGGGGGUGCUAGAGCGCACCGAUGAUGCAAGUAGGAAAGGGGGAGCAGUAGGGUAUUACCUGAAGUCAGGCAUAGCGAUGAUAACUAGUCGCCGCGACAUCGGGUCAGGCGGAGCGGCGAACACAUUUCUUAUCUCCUGACGAGUAUGGUCGCAAGAUUAAACUCAUGGGGUUGAUGGGAGUCUGCACAAGCGGUCGAGCGUGUGGUCUAGUUCGAAUCAAUUCGUUGAAGCUUAAUCCCGCUGACGUACCGGUCACGAUGAGAGCAGACUCUUUUCUUCAGUUCGGCUGAACCGGUGACAGGUGCUGCAUGGCUGUCGUCAGCUCGUGUCGUGAGAUGUUGGGUUAAGUCACGCAACGAGCGCAACCCUCGUCCUUAGUUGCCAUCAUUCAGCUGGGCACUCUAAGGAAUCCGCCGGUGAUAAGCCGGAGGAAGGUGGGGAUUUCGUCAAGUCCUCAUGGCCCUCAUAGGCUGGGCCACACACGUGCUACAACGGCUGUGACAGUGGGCAGCGGACUCGCGAGGGGGAGCUAAUCUCUAAAAGCCGUCUCAGUUCGGAUUGUUCUCUGCAACUCGAGAUCAUGAAGGCGGAAUCGCUAGUAAUCGCGGCUCAGCAUGCCGCGGUGAAUACGUUCGCAGUCCUUGUACACGCCUCCCGUCACACCAUGGGAGUUGGUUCUACCCGAAGAUGGUGCGCUAACCUUUUAGGAGGCAGCCAGCCGCGGUGGGUUUCGCGCCUUGGGCGAAGUCCUCUAAAGGUAACCAACGUCGAAUCGUUUAACCCUGCAGGACUAUCCCACUAACAUCGACAGCCAUC